CCCUUAGAUGUCCGGGGCUGCACGCGCGCUACACUGUAGAAAGCAGCGUGCUUUAAAACCUUUCCUGAAAAGGAUGGGUAACCCCAGCAAAAUUCUACGUGCUUGGGAUAGAGAUUUGCAAUUUUCUCUCUUGAGCGAGGAAUUCCCAGUAAGUGCGAGUCAUCAGCUCGCGUUGAUUACGUCCCUGCCCUCUGUACACACCGCCCAUCGCUACUACCGAUUGGGAAAAUUUUAGAGAGUCCUGGACUGAUGAUUGUUCGGCUUCACGGCCUUACUUUCGUCGGGAAAGAAUUCGAUAAUAUUUUUCUAGAGGAAGUAAAAGUCGUAACA
RNAcentral lists this ribosomal RNA (330 nucleotides) under uncultured eukaryote. RNAcentral's name for it is "partial 18S ribosomal RNA". It matches the Rfam family "Eukaryotic small subunit ribosomal RNA", at positions 1470 to 1796 of the family's 1831-position model. The record is from RNAcentral.